RNAcentral lists this ribosomal RNA (465 nucleotides) under uncultured bacterium. Its description in RNAcentral is "partial 16S ribosomal RNA". It matches the Rfam family "Bacterial small subunit ribosomal RNA", at positions 338 to 795 of the family's 1533-position model. The record is from RNAcentral.
CCUACGGGGAGCUGCAGUCGGGAAUAUUGCGCAAUGGAGGAAACUCUGACGCAGUGACGCCGCGUAUAGGAAGAAGGUUUUCGGAUUGUAAAGCUCUGUUGGUAGUGAAGAAAGAUAGAGGUAGUAACUGGCCUUUAUUUGACGGUAAUUACUUAGAAAGUCACGGCUAACUACGUGCCAGCAGCCGCGGUAAUACGUAGGUGGCAAGCGUUGUCCGGAUUUAUUGGGCGUAAAGCGAGUGCAGGCGGUUCAAUAAGUCUGAUGUGAAAGCCUUCGGCUCAACCGGAGAAUUGCAUCAGAAACUGUUGAACUUGAGUGCAGAAGAGGAGAGUGGAACUCCAUGUGUAGCGGUGGAAUGCGUAGAUAUAUGGAAGAACACCAGUGGCGAAGGCGGCUCUCUGGUCUGCAACUGACGCUGAGGCUCGAAAGCAUGGGUAGCGAACAGGAUUAGAUACCCCAGUAGUC